Molecule: long non-coding RNA, 330 nt
Organism: Ipomoea triloba (trilobed morning glory)
Lineage: Eukaryota; Viridiplantae; Streptophyta; Magnoliopsida; Solanales; Convolvulaceae
Exons: 2
Source: RefSeq, a predicted model, not a curated record
AUUAUUAUUACUAUUAUUAUUAUUAUUAUUAUUAUUAUUUACCCAAACCCACAGGCCACAGCCCAUUUGCAAGCCCUACCAUUUCCUCUCACUUAAUUCCCUAAAUCAAAUCAGAGUUCCUCUCCCCUAAAUCAGAUGCAGGGAUCGCGAGAAGCAAGAAGAAGAAGAAGAAGAAGAAGGAGGGAGAACUAGAAGCGAAGAACAAUGGGCAAGAAAACAGCAAGAAUCUGAUGGCACCAUGGAUGAAGAUUACUUGCUUAUUCUUUUUCAUAGUAGUUUUUUUGUAUGUUCAUGGUGGCCUGUGAGUGGGAAAGGAGAAGGAUAAGGGGA